UCAAACUGACGAACUGCAUUUUCGAUUCAGUCAACAUUCAGAACCAACCCGAGCAAAAUCUUAAGAAUUCAGCUGGUUUGAUGAUUAUCUCGAGUUGGGGCCAAAAUAAAAGAUGGAGAAUUUGAGUUUAUCUGUAACUUUCAUUAAAGCAUCUGUGCACCAUCGGAUUGAAGAUCGACCACGACUCGGCUCUGAAGAUCACGGGCGGUGACAGAGCACCCAGACGUGUCGCCGCCGCCGUCGUCGGUCGACCGCCAGAGCGACUAGCUAGGCCACCUCCUCACCACGCAAGCCUACGGGUAGGCCACGGUGUCGUCCAUGCGCGGGGUUAAACGCUUGAAUACUUACUGCUCCCGCGCCGCCGUUUCACCGUCUCCCUUUUUACCGCCGCCCGCUCUCCUCUGUCAAAGCA
RNAcentral lists this long non-coding RNA (412 nucleotides) under Setaria viridis. RNAcentral describes it as "long non-coding RNA (SVIR_LNC008381)". Lineage: Eukaryota; Viridiplantae; Streptophyta; Magnoliopsida; Poales; Poaceae. The record is from RNAcentral.